AACAAACAUGGUGUAAAUCUCUUUAGCUCUACUUUUUUUAAUGGAAACCUCUCGAACUCUUAUUUACACCAAAAAUGCUUUCGUAAAUUGCGAGUGCAAAACCUCUUUUCCAAUGAGAGUCGCUUUCCCUUCUCAAACCGGUUUAUCUUCGAGCUUUUUCAAAACCCUAACUAGAAUCUUCAUGUUUCCAGCAACUUUUCUCGGCUAGAUCUUUGAUUCCACCGGCCCUUCAAGUUCGUCUAGGUUUUGUUUACUAUAUUGUUGUGAUACCCUCUCCUAUAUCCAUGAGAUCUCUAUUCUAAUCAAGGUUUCUGCUGCCAUGCUGUGUUUGGUCUCAAUAGAGGAGGUUUCUACUUGAACUUCUUAAUUCUAUAACUCUAUCAAAAGAAGACUGAUGAAAAUGCAUGAGCAUUACUCAAAGAAGAUUCAAUUUAGUUACAUUGGGGGCUUCUCAUACCAAAUGAUGCUAGACGAAAUUUAUAUAGCCAGGGGUGAACAAACUGAUGAGGAAUUGAUUUCUUACAGCCAAGUUGAGAUUUAGGCCACUUAGAUGAUUACUUGCUAUGGAUUUCCUGUUGCUAAACGAUCAAGAAUAGGAAUUUUGACAUCGUCAUUCAAGACAAAGCUCAUUGCCAUAAUUCCUCAGCAGGCAGCAAUAAUUCAUCUACACUGAGUUUCUCCAAGACAUUGGAUUCCAAGGAACCCUAUGGGUAUUUUCUUAAGUUUACUUUAUCACAACAUAGUGCAGCAAAUUCUUAAUUUUGCUCUAUGGGCCGGUGGAAUCUCACCUUUUAUUUGACUACUGCUUUAGCUGUUUAUUUGUUUCGUUCAAGUUGUAAUUUUGCUUUUUAUAGUUGUCUUAGUGUGAUAGAUCUUAAAUUGUGUUGUUUAAGCUAGAUUUUUCCUUUUGGGCUAGCUUUUCCUUUUGUGUAUUAGCGCUAGCCAAGGAUUUCUUUCUAUAGUAUUAGGUCGUUGUUAGUACAAUCUUAGGGUAAUUUUCUUGCUCUAUCUCUGAAUUGUAAAGUUAUUUAGAUACUCACAUCUAAAUAGCUCCACAAACAAGGAUUUCAUUUUUCCGCAUGUCA
Papaver somniferum (opium poppy) is the source of this 1085-nucleotide long non-coding RNA. RefSeq lists it as uncharacterized. NCBI's taxonomy places the organism in Eukaryota, Viridiplantae, Streptophyta, Magnoliopsida, Ranunculales, Papaveraceae. The record is from RefSeq and is a predicted model, not a curated record. The transcript has 2 exons.